RNAcentral lists this long non-coding RNA (1388 nucleotides) under Homo sapiens (human). Its description in RNAcentral is "HSALNT0401602". The record is from RNAcentral. Lineage: Eukaryota; Metazoa; Chordata; Mammalia; Primates; Hominidae.
CUGACGUGUCUCAGCACAUAAUCACAAAGAGCCAAGCACGCAUGAGUCAGAAGCAGUUAUAUCCCUAAGUCAUAAAGCAGCAGCUGGGCCCAAGAUUCCUGGCAUCCUUCCAAUCUCACCUCCCCCGCCCUAUUUACCCAGGAGCAAAAGAAGCGGAGGGAAGCAACACAGCGCAGCGUGACUACGUGCUUGAUCUGUCUCCUCCUAACGGGCAUGCAGGCAACCCAGGUGCCUUAGGUAAGUGACCCCAUUCCCUGCCCUGCCUUGGAGGGCCGGAUGAGUCAAAGAGUAAUCUUAUCCCUCUGCUAGUGAGUACAAAUGAAGUCUGUGGGCCAACAAGGAGCGAGGAGCAGUUUCCUGGAAGCCCUGGGCUGGUGUUUGACUUGCUUUGAGAUAGAAUAAAUGGGAGAAAGAGACUUUAUGGGACAUCUGGGCCUAGGGCUCCUGGAUGCUGUGCUGAAAACACCACGUACAGAAGCCAGUCUAACCUUCUGGAUGAUGAGAGCCCAGAUGCAGUACAGAGGUGCCCCAGCCAACAAUCAGCUGCUAUCUGAAUCCCAUCUGGAUCCCAUCUGAAUCCCAUGUCACCAUGAAUGAGGCCACCUUAGCCCAGCCAGCACAGCUGAAAGCCAGAAGCAGCCGCAUGCACAAGCCCAGGGGAAGCCCACAGAGGAACCACCAGCCAACACACAGAAUUGCAAGCAAACCCCAGCUUUUAAGUUGGUCUCCGCAGAGGACAACUGCAUUCUCCAGCCUCCUGUACAGCAGAGAGUGCCAUGUGACUAAGACCAAGUUCUAACCAGUGGGAUCAAAGCAGGGAAGUGUUGCCUUCUUUGCCCCUUCCUGCUGGCUGGAAUAUGACAAAACGGCUGCAGCAUGAGCAACCUUCUUGGGCCCUGAGGUGGAAGCCACCUGUUGGUUGACCGACCAGAUGGUGGAGUGACCAGAUAGAAGGGGCCUGGUGAUUGUGGAUUCUGCCACACUACCUCUGGUCCCCUAUACCUAUGUGAAAGGAAAAGAAAUGUCUGCCAUGUUCGUGUGUGUGUGUGUGUGUGUAGUGUGUGUGUGUGUGUGUGUGUCUGCCAUGUUUAAGCCACUAUAACUUUGGGAUAUCUGUGGCUUAUAGUCAAAUCUAAUCCAAACAAAUGCACCUCUAUGUCCCCCUCACAGAUAAGAAGAUUGAUGCAAGGGAACCCCUGAUGUGGCCAUAACACAAAGAUAGCUUCAACCACCACCGAUACGGAGCUGGACUCCGCCCUUCCUGGCCUCCUGGCCUUUUAUUCCCCGCUAAUUCCUCUGGAUUCCUAAUGACUCCCAUUCCCUGCAUGCACACCAGGUACAGUCACAUCUCCUGGCGUUUACUCUUGCCAUACCCAGUGUCCAGCUUC